CUGGUGGGGGUGGGCUCGAGGUUUUAUUUUUAAGCUAGCUGAGAUGUCUGCCCCCUGCAUUAAUUCUGCUACGCGAAGACCGGGCACCGUGCUUCCCAGUACGCUUCUAGGCGGCCGAGGGAGAAAGCCCCUCCAGGCUCGCAGACCCCACCUUUGACUCGGUCGACAAGAAGGCAGCGUGCGUUCCCCGCCCUGUGCCCACCUGAGCGUCCAGCUCAGCCCUGAACGCUCAGGACACGGGAGGGGCUGGGAGGGGCCGCGGCACCGGCUCUGGAACCGUGGUCCCGAGUUCAAACUCCUGCCUCCUGGAACCGGGUGUGCCCUUGAGCAGCUUAAAUAUAACCCCUCCUGGCAAACUGUCUGCCCUUGUGAAACAGGGGCGGCCAUGCCUACCUUGCAGGUGCAGGAAAACUGGCAGUAACCAGCAAAGGAGCGGGUGCUCCCGGGCACUGCCUUCUUCAUGCAUCUGUGAUAGCUUCACAAAGCUGGUGGCCAGGACAGCAUCUCUGUCCUCUUGGGGUUUAUAUUCUAGGGAAGGAGACAAAAAGAAGGCAAAAUUAAAAACAAAAACAAAAACAAACACCGUUGACAGAUGGUGAGGAAUGCCAUGCAAAUGGAGGGUGUUGGGCGACAGUGUCCGGGGAAGUUCUGACCUAGGGAGGUAGGGACAUGUGAGCCACCACCACGCAGCAGGCACAGGCAGCAGGGCAGCGGGAGAAGCCAGCUGAGGCCAGCGCGUGUCAGACCCAGAGAGGGAGUCAAGAAUUUACCCCAAGAGCGAUGGGAAAGCCUUCGUGGGGAUUUAAGCAGCAAACUUCCUGCUGGGUCUUCUCCUCCACCCUAUUCGCAAGCCCAGUGGCACUAACAGAGGCAGACUCCCAGCUCUACUCACACCUCCGCCACCGCCACCCCAGUUUGGGUCACCCCUCACCCCUUGAUGGGUCUCCUGCUUCUGGCCUUGAACCACUUCAGCCUGAUCUCACAGCAGCGAGAGUGAGCCUGUUAAAACAAAUCAGAUCAUACCCUUCCUCUGCUCAAGAACCUGUUAUGGCUCCCAUAUCAGUCCGAAUAGAAGCCAAAGGCCUUAUGGCACCUAUGGGGCCUGAUCUGGCCACACCUCUCCCUUUAUCUCUCCAGCCUCCUUAUGGACUCCCCGUCCUCUCCCUCACCCUGCUAAGCUACAAUGGCCUCCUUGCUGGUCCUCAAACACACCAGCACCCUCUGCCUCAGGGCCUUUGCACUUGCUGGUCUCUCUUGCUGGGACUCUUUUAUCCCGUUAUCCACAUGGUUCACUCCCUACUUCUUCAGCUCCUCAUCUGGCCUUCCCUGACCCCCCCUCAAAAAUUGCAAAACACCCCAGUCCACUGCCCACCCUUGCCAGCACCUCCUGCUCCAUUUCUCCACUUCAGCUUUCUUCUUUGCCCUGACCGCCAUCUGACAGACUACCUUUCUUCCCUCCACCAGAAUGGAGGCUCCGUAAGAACAGAGACUUCAGUGUUCUGUUCCCUGUGGGUCCCCUGAGCCUAGACAGGGCCUGGCACAUGCAGCUGCUCUGAAGUUCAAGGCAAGACUCUAAAUCUGGGAUGCGAAGAAGCUGAAGCCCCCACGCGCAGUGUUGCGAAGGAUUGAAAGGAAAAUGAAGCAAGAACGUAAACGGACAUCGGGAUGCUGUGUUCCGGAGGAGGGAGGCGGAAGGCUGGACCCCCAGAGCCGGAGAAUUCGAUAUAAUUAAGGAUCUUAAGACGAGAUCAUCCUGGAUUAUCCGGAUGGACCCUAAAUCCGAUGACAAAUGUCCUUAUAGAAGAAAGACAGAAGGAGAUUUGCGACAGACGGGAGAGGAGGAGAAAGGAGAGGAGCAGCCACGUGAAGAUGAGGCAGAGCGGGGAGGGAGGCAGUCGUGAGCCUGGA
Molecule: long non-coding RNA, 1908 nt
Filed under: Equus caballus (horse)
Lineage: Eukaryota; Metazoa; Chordata; Mammalia; Perissodactyla; Equidae
Description: lncRNA (ENSECAG00000054819.1)
Source: RNAcentral